RNAcentral lists this ribosomal RNA (253 nucleotides) under uncultured bacterium. RNAcentral's name for it is "partial 16S ribosomal RNA". It matches the Rfam family "Bacterial small subunit ribosomal RNA", at positions 524 to 776 of the family's 1533-position model. The record is from RNAcentral.
GACGGAGGGUGCUAGCGUUGUUCGGAAUCACUGGGCGUAAAGGGCGCGUAGGCGGCCUGGCGAGUCGGCUGUGAAAGCCCGGGGCUCAACCCCGGAGGUGCAGCCGAUACCGCCCGGCUGGAGGCCGGAAGAGGAGGGUGGAAUACCCAGUGUAGAGGUGAAAUUCGUAGAUAUUGGGUGGAACACCGGUGGCGAAAGUGGCUCUCGGGUCCGGUCCUGACUUUGAGGCGCGAAAGCGUGGGGAGCAAACAGG